Molecule: unclassified non-coding RNA, 299 nt
Organism: Ursus americanus (American black bear)
Lineage: Eukaryota; Metazoa; Chordata; Mammalia; Carnivora; Ursidae
Gene: 7SK
Rfam family: 7SK RNA
About the family: 7SK was discovered as an abundant small nuclear RNA in the mid-70s but a possible function has only recently been suggested. Two independent studies have found that 7SK RNA binds the CDK9/cyclin T complex (known as elongation factor P-TEFb).
Source: Ensembl
AGCAGUUUUCAAAAUAAAGCAACAUCUGUCACCCCAUUGAUCACCAGUGUUGAUUUGUCUAAUCUGGCCAGGUAGAUGGGUGUCCCCUUCCUCCCAGACCACUCCAUGUGUGUGCCUCCUGAAGCCGAGCACUUGGUCACUCGGUAGAACAGGAUGACCUUCCCUGACAGAGGAGGACCAUCCUUCUGUCAAGGGUAUGUGAGUCACGGUGCUAGAACCUCCAGACAAAUUUUCUUCGCAUCUUCUAAUGAUGAGAAAUUUAACUCUAAAAAAUCAUUAUGAAAUCAUGGAUUUAAAUA